GAUGAAGAACGCAGCGAAAUGCGAUAAGUAAUGUGAAUUGCAGAAUUCUGUGAAUCAUCGAAUCUUUGAACGCACAUUGCGCCCUCUGGUAUUCCGGGGGGCAUGCCUGUCCGAGCGUCAUUUGCAACCCUCAAGCCCGGCUUGUGUGAUGGGUGCCGUCCCCUACGGGACGCGCCCCGAAGGCAAUGGCGGCGUCGCGGUUAUCCGAUCAGCCAAAGUGUAUGGGGCUUUGUCACUCACUUUACGGCCCGGACCGGCGCCAGUCCGAAUCAAUCUUUUUUCUAAAGUUGACCUCGGAUCAGGUAGGGAUACCCGCUGAACUUAAGCAUAUCAAUAAGCGGAGGA
This 345-nucleotide unclassified non-coding RNA is filed under the name soil metagenome. RNAcentral describes it as "partial contains 5.8S ribosomal RNA, internal transcribed spacer 2, and large subunit ribosomal RNA". The stretch from base 1 to 120 matches the Rfam family "5.8S ribosomal RNA", at positions 35 to 154 of the family's 154-position model. The record is from RNAcentral.